GACGAACGCUGGCGGCGUGCUUAACACAUGCAAGUCGAGCGGUAAGGCCCUUUCGGGGGUACGACGAGCGGCGAACGGGUGAGUAACACGUGGGUGACCUGCCCUUAGCUCUGGGAUAAGCCUGGGAAACUAGGGUCUAAUACCGGAUAUGACUCCAUAACGCAUGUUGUGGGGUGGAAAGCCUUGUGCGGCUAGGGAUGGGCCCGCGGCCUAUCAGCUUGUUGGUGGGGUGAUGGCCACCAAGGCGACGACGGGUAGCCGGCCUGAGAGGGCGACCGGCCACACUGGGACUGAGACACGGCCCAGACUCCUACGGGAGGCAGCAGUGGGGAA
Molecule: ribosomal RNA, 333 nt
Filed under: uncultured bacterium
Lineage: Bacteria
Description: bacterial SSU rRNA
Rfam family: Bacterial small subunit ribosomal RNA
Source: RNAcentral